UUCGAGGCUAGAGUCACAUCCUUACACUUUCCGUUGUCUUGAUGUGCUAGAGUUCUCGAAGAGUAAUUACUGAUACUAUUCACUGGCUGUAGCUCCCUGAUAGUGCAGUCAGUCACCAAAUUAGUGACAUGA
This is a small nucleolar RNA of Hypanus sabinus (Atlantic stingray), 132 nucleotides long. RefSeq annotates it as small nucleolar RNA SNORA3/SNORA45 family. The record is from RefSeq and is a predicted model, not a curated record. The transcript has a single exon. Lineage: Eukaryota; Metazoa; Chordata; Chondrichthyes; Myliobatiformes; Dasyatidae.